Molecule: ribosomal RNA, 430 nt
Filed under: Verrucomicrobiota bacterium
Lineage: Bacteria; Pseudomonadati; Verrucomicrobiota
Description: Verrucomicrobia bacterium partial 16S ribosomal RNA
Rfam family: Bacterial small subunit ribosomal RNA
Source: RNAcentral
UAGGGAAUCUUCGGCAAUGGGGGGAACCCUGACCGAGCAACGCCGCGUGAGUGAAGAAGGUUUUCGGAUCGUAAAGCUCUGUUGUUAAGGAAGAACGAGUGUGAGAAUGGAAAGUUCAUGCUGUGACGGUACUUAACCAGAAAGGGACGGCUAACUACGUGCCAGCAGCCGCGGUAAUACGUAGGUCCCGAGCGUUGUCCGGAAUUACUGGGCGUAAAGAGUUCGUAGGCGGUUUGUCGCGUCGUUUGUGAAAACCAGCAGCUCAACUGCUGGCUUGCAGGCGAUACGGGCAGACUUGAGUACUGCAGGGGAGACUGGAAUUCCUGGUGUAGCGGUGAAAUGCGCAGAUAUCAGGAGGAACACCGGUGGCGAAGGCGGGUCUCUGGGCAGUAACUGACGCUGAGGAACGAAAGCGUGGGUAGCGAACAGG